Budorcas taxicolor (takin) is the source of this 367-nucleotide long non-coding RNA. RefSeq lists it as uncharacterized. NCBI's taxonomy places the organism in Eukaryota, Metazoa, Chordata, Mammalia, Artiodactyla, Bovidae. The transcript has 3 exons. The record is from RefSeq and is a predicted model, not a curated record.
GCCAAGGGGGCGGCAGGCGCGCGCGGGAGAAUCAGAACGCUGCCGGCGCAGAGUGGAGGCUACGCCAGGUUCCGAACUCUGGUCCCUGAAGACCACCAAAGGAAAUGAUCCAUCACCAUCUCCUGAGACGUAAACGAGGUACACCUAGGGGAAAGUCCCAAUGAUUCCAGUGCCUUCCACUAAGAAAAUGACUUCUCCAAGUUGGACAGCUCAAGGGGGAGAGCCUCCCUAAAUGUUUCAGGGGCCUCUACUCUGCCCACCGCAUCCCCAUGUGUAGCCUUAUUGACAAGCACAGACCAGUAUGAUGACCCCAUGAUGAGGAAGGCGUGUGCAAAUUUUGACCCUCUCCUUAAAUAUAUCAUCCAAG